UUUAYGAGGUCAGGACACUGUGAGGAUUGACAGAUUGAAAGCUCUUUCUUGAUUCAGUGGGUGGUGGUGCAUGGCCGUUCUUAGUUGGUGGAGUGAUUUGUCUGGUUAAUUCCGUUAACGAACGAGACCUUAACCUGCUAAAUAGUCACGCGAACCGGUCCGCAAGGGCUCAAAGUUCGCGGCUCGACUUCUUAGAGGGACUAUUCGCACCCGCCAGCGAAUGGAAGUUUGAGGCAAUAACAGGUCUGUGAUGCCCUUAGAUGUUCUCGGCCGCACGCGCGUUACACUGACGGAGUCAACGAGCGUUUUUCCUUGCCCGAUAGGGCUGGGUAACCUCCUGAAACUCCGUCGUGAUGGGGAUAGAUCAUUGCAAUUAUUGAUCUUGAACGAGGAAUUCCUAGUAGGCGCGAGUCAUCAACUCGCGCCGAUUACGUCCCUGCCCUUGUACACACCGCCCRMAGCGGUAGUACUC
Molecule: ribosomal RNA, 472 nt
Filed under: Vermamoeba vermiformis
Lineage: Eukaryota; Tubulinea; Echinamoebida; Vermamoebidae
Description: SSU rRNA
Source: RNAcentral